Molecule: ribosomal RNA, 725 nt
Filed under: uncultured bacterium
Lineage: Bacteria
Description: bacterial SSU rRNA
Rfam family: Bacterial small subunit ribosomal RNA
Source: RNAcentral
GGAGCAAACAGGAUUAGAUACCCUGGUAGUCCACGCUGUAAACGAUGUCGAUUUGAAGGUUGUUCCCUUGAGGAGUGGCUUUCGGAGCUAACGCGUUAAAUCGACCGCCUGGGGAGUACGGCCGCAAGGUUAAAACUCAAAUGAAUUGACGGGGGCCCGCACAAGCGGUGGAGCAUGUGGUUUAAUUCGAUGCAACGCGAAGAACCUUACCUACUCUUGACAUCCAGAGAACUUAGCAGAGAUGCUUUGGUGCCUUCGGGAACUCUGAGACAGGUGCUGCAUGGCUGUCGUCAGCUCGUGUUGUGAAAUGUUGGGUUAAGUCCCGCAACGAGCGCAACCCUUAUCCUUUGUUGCCAGCGAUUCGGUCGGGAACUCAAAGGAGACUGCCGGUGAUAAACCGGAGGAAGGUGGGGAUGACGUCAAGUCAUCAUGGCCCUUACGAGUAGGGCUACACACGUGCUACAAUGGCGUAUACAAAGAGAAGCGACCUCGCGAGAGCAAGCGGAACUCAUAAAGUACGUCGUAGUCCGGAUUGGAGUCUGCAACUCGACUCCAUGAAGUCGGAAUCGCUAGUAAUCGUAGAUCAGAAUGCUACGGUGAAUACGUUCCCGGGCCUUGUACACACCGCCCGUCACACCAUGGGAGUGGGUUGCAAAAGAAGUAGGUAGCUUAACCUUCGGGAGGGCGCUUACCACUUUGUGAUUCAUGACUGGGGUGAAGUCGUA